AUACGGAGGAUGCAAGCGUUAUCCGGAUUUAUUGGGUUUAAAGGGUGCGUAGGCGGUUUGCUAAGCGGGAGGUGAAAUGCCGGCGCUCAACGUCGGAAGUGCCUCCCGAACUGGUGGACUUGAAUGACUCUGCCGUGGGAGGAAUGUGUAGUGUAGCGGUGAAAUGCUUAGAGAUUACACAGAACACCGAUUGCGAAGGCAUCUCACGAAGGGUUGAUUGACGCUGAGGCACGAAAGCGUGGGGAUCAAACAGGUUAGAUACCUUGGUAGUCCACGCAGUAAACGAUGAUGGCUAACCGCUGGGCUUAUCAGUUCAGUGGCCAAGCGAAAGCGAUAAGCCAUCCACCUGGGGAGUACGACCGCAAGGUUGAAACUCAAAGGAAUUGACGGGG
Molecule: ribosomal RNA, 392 nt
Filed under: uncultured bacterium
Lineage: Bacteria
Description: partial 16S ribosomal RNA
Rfam family: Bacterial small subunit ribosomal RNA
Source: RNAcentral